UACGGGAGGCAGCAGUGGGGAAUAUUGCACAAUGGGCGCAAGCCUGAUGCAGCCAUGCCGCGUGUAUGAAGAAGGCCUUCGGGUUGUAAAGUACUUUCAGCGGGGAGGAAGGCGAUGCGGUUAAUAACCGCGUCGAUUGACGUUACCCGCAGAAGAAGCACCGGCUAACUCCGUGCCAGCAGCCGCGGUAAUACGGAGGGUGCAAGCGUUAAUCGGAAUUACUGGGCGUAAAGCGCACGCAGGCGGUCUGUUAAGUCAGAUGUGAAAUCCCCGGGCUUAACCUGGGAACUGCAUUUUGAACUGGCAGGCUUGAGUCUUGUAGAGGGGGUAGAAUUCCAGGUGUAGCGGUGAAAUGCGUAGAGAUCUGGAGGAAUACCGGUGGCGAAGGCGGCCCCUGGGACAAAGCUGACGCUCAGGUGCGAAAGCGUGGGGAGCAAACGAGGGAUUAGGAUACC
RNAcentral lists this ribosomal RNA (455 nucleotides) under uncultured bacterium. RNAcentral describes it as "bacterial SSU rRNA". It matches the Rfam family "Bacterial small subunit ribosomal RNA", at positions 340 to 786 of the family's 1533-position model. The record is from RNAcentral.